GGGUAGGGGUGGAGGGUGGGCAGCGUCCUGGGCUGGUGCAGAUGUUGGAUCAGAAGCUAGUCACGGGCAUACGCUGCAAACAGUAAACAAAGGAAGGGUGGUAGAGCAUCUAAUGUCAGACAAAGGUGAUUCCAACACAACAUGCAUUACUAUAGUGGAGAGCUUUUCGUAAUUACCAAAGGGUAAAUCCGAGAGGCUGAAAUGAUUCUAAAUGGAUAAGCAUCUAUUAACAUAGCCACAAAAUUUAAAGCAAACAUCAACAGAAGCAAAAGACAAGUUGGUAGAUUUCAGUACAUUUUUCUCUGUGUAAGAUAGAACAAUUUCAGUUCAGUUCAUUCAUUCAGUCGUGCCCGACUCUGUGAUCCCAUGGACUGCAGCACGCCAGGCAUCCCUGUCCUUCACUAUCUCCCGGAGCUUGUCAAACUCAUGUCCACGGAGUCCGUGAUUCCAUCCAACCAUCUCAUCCUCUGUCAUCCCCUUCUCCUCCUGCCGUCAAUUUUCCCAGCAUCAGAGUCUUUUCCAGUGAGUCAGUUCUUCGCAUCAGGAGGCCAAAGUAUUGGAGCUUCAGCUUCAGCAUCAGUCCUUCCAAUGAAUAUUCAGGGUUGACUUCCUUUCGGGUUGACUGGUUUGCUCUCCUUGUUGUCCAAAGGACUCUCAAGAGUCUCCUCCAACAUCACAGUUCAAAAGCAUCAAUAGAACAAGGCAGGACAUUAAUAAAGCUAUAGAAUAUUUGCACAUCAUGACUAACAGUCUUGACCUAGUAACUGUCAACUUCAAUAAUAUAACAGCCAGAUAGUUUACUGGCAAAAGCAAGUUUACUCAGGAACAGCAACAGAAAUUUCGACUUCAGACAAGCAAUCUGGUGCCGACUGUAAGCAAACCCACAGGACAAGGACGGAGAACUUGCUUUUAUAGGAAAAAGGAGGAGAUGGGCGGGGCCGCGAUGAUCACGGAAGAGUCCAUUGGAGGAACUAAGGGUAUGGUUGAUGGAGGCUUCCCAUUGGUUCCGCUGUUGCAGACUGGCUGAGUUGCAUGCUGCGGAGAGGGGUCUUCUGAGACGGGAGAGAGAUCAAAGGCCCCAAUGAAAGUAACAACCUUUUGCUUUCUCUUCCCUUAUCUUGUUUUAAACAGCUGCUGCUCAUCAAUCACCACUUUCGCUUCUGUGAUCUUGCUUGCUUGUUGCAGGGGAGGGAUCUGAGCUUUUUGAGCUAGAAGUUUCUGGUGUAUAAAAGACACCCAGAACAAAGCCAGGACACUCAGCCUUUGGAAGUAACUCUGCCGAGCGGGCACCGGUACUGAAUAAACCCUGCUGUUCUGUGCCGGGGUCCAGCCCCGGCUGAUCCAGGGUAUUCAAAGCGGGGACGGCGUCGACAACCUAUUUAUUUAAAUAUUUUAUCAAAGAUAUAAAGAGUAAUAGGAUGAGGAUAGCUCAGUGAGGAAAUUUAGUGGAGAAAAGAGGCUGAAUAAAAUUCCAAAGCAGGGAAUUUACGUCACCUACGAAGGCCGCAGGCGUCCUCCCGUUCUCCCAAAGGAGAGGAGACACUAAGGCCUCCCCGGUCGGAUCUUAGAAGCCCAGGCAAAAUUAGUAGGCUUGACGAGCUUCCCCGCCUCAGAGGAAAAAUUCAGCUAGAAGGUGAAAGAAAGAACGACAUGGGGAGACCAAGUU
Bos taurus (domestic cattle) is the source of this 1666-nucleotide long non-coding RNA. The record is from Ensembl. Lineage: Eukaryota; Metazoa; Chordata; Mammalia; Artiodactyla; Bovidae.